UGCUUGUGUUUUUAUUACAGAAUGCUAAAAUGCGGUGAAAAGACAACAACAAUAAAACGUCUUUAUCCCAAAACUAGCUUUGCUCAGCUAAUUUUCUAGUAUAUGCUCUGAAAAAAAAUGAAAACAAUUUGAGAAUGCAGAAAUUCAAAUACCUGAGAAAGUCCUUUCUCAGUGGCGAGCAAAUUAGGGCAUUUUUCAAGUCCUAAUUCCAAAUUCAGAAGUACUCCAACUCUUUUUUAAU
This 241-nucleotide long non-coding RNA is filed under the name Nicotiana benthamiana. RNAcentral describes it as "long non-coding RNA (NBEN_LNC001109)". The record is from RNAcentral. Lineage: Eukaryota; Viridiplantae; Streptophyta; Magnoliopsida; Solanales; Solanaceae.